AAAUUAUAUAAAAAAAUAAGACAUUCUUCAAAAUAUAUGUUAACUCAAAAGCGUUCAAAUAUCAUAGCCUAAAUAUUACAACUUUUUUUAUUGAAUUUAUAAUUAUCCUAUGUGUGUGGAUCUAUUAAAAAACACACAGUUUUCAUAAUCAGUUUAUUUUAUUUGUCCACUACUAAUAAUGAACUAUUUUUAAAAUACAUUAAUAAACAUAAGAGAGAUAAAAGUGUAAAAAUAUCUAUCUAUCUAUCUAUCUAUCUGUCUGUCUGUCUGUCUGGCUGUCUGUCUGUCGGUCUGUCUGUCUGUCUGUCUGCUUGAUGAACUGCAAAUCCCAGAUGGCGUCGCGGGGGCGUGUCGUCACGUGACCUAAGCAAGGUGUUUUCACAUGAGCGCGCGGAGAGCAGAGGGCUCACAGAGGUCAGAGCUCAGAGUGCAGGCGGACCGCGGAGAAACACGCUCAGUUCAUCUACGGGAGGAUGGAGGUGGAGAACCGACCCAACGGAUUUGACUUCUCCAAACGGGACAACUUACUGGGCAGCGGUUUUUAUGAAGAGAACUCCCUUCAGGAAGACACAGCUGUUUGGACUCUCAUUCUGACGGCACCCAUUCACUGCAGAGGAUCCAUUAGUGAGCAAGUGAUGUAAUGCUACAUUUCUCCAAAUCUGUUCUGAUGAAGAGACAAUUUCAUCUACAUUUUGCCUUAGGGUGAGAAAAGUUUCAGCAAAUUUUUAUUUUUGGGUGAACUACUCCUUUAAUAUUAUAAUUUCUAUAGUAUUCAUAAUAUUAAAAUAUUACACAACAUUUAAUUAUUCAGUGUAGUGUCACUCUAUGAAAGUAUCUGACCACUGAAUGCUGCGUUUGACCUGACAGAACAAAUAUUUUAAACUCCAAGAUAGCUGUUUAAUAAAAACCAAAAGUGCAGCA
Molecule: long non-coding RNA, 921 nt
Organism: Cyprinus carpio (common carp)
Lineage: Eukaryota; Metazoa; Chordata; Actinopteri; Cypriniformes; Cyprinidae
Source: Ensembl